Molecule: ribosomal RNA, 433 nt
Filed under: uncultured bacterium
Lineage: Bacteria
Description: partial 16S ribosomal RNA
Rfam family: Bacterial small subunit ribosomal RNA
Source: RNAcentral
AACGAACGCUGGCGGCAUGCCUAACACAUGCAAGUCGAACGAGACCUUCGGGUCUAGUGGCGCACGGGUGCGUAACGCGUGGGAACCUGCCCUUAGGUUCGGAAUAACUCCCCGAAAGGGGUGCUAAUACCGGAUAAUGUCUUCGGACCAAAGAUUUAUCGCCUUUGGAGGGGCCCGCGUUGGAUUAGCUAGUUGGUAGGGUAAAAGCCUACCAAGGCGACGAUCCAUAGCUGGUCUGAGAGGAUGAUUACCCACACUGGGACUGAGACACGGCCCAGACUCCUACGGGAGGCAGCAGUGGGGAAUAUUGGACAAUGGGCGAAAGCCUGAUCCAGCAAUGCCGCGUGAGUGAUGAAGGCCUUAGGGUUGUAAAGCUCUUUUACCCGGGAUGAUAAUGACAGUACCGGGAGAAUAAGCCCCGGCUAACUCCGUG